GAGAAAUUAGUUAAUUUAUAAUAUUCGCUUGUCAUGCUUAAGUUGUCUUUUAGACAUUUCUCA
RNAcentral lists this transfer RNA (63 nucleotides) under Metopograpsus frontalis. Its description in RNAcentral is "tRNA-Asp". Lineage: Eukaryota; Metazoa; Arthropoda; Malacostraca; Decapoda; Grapsidae. The record is from RNAcentral.